GAUGAACGCUAGCGGCAGGCCUAAUACAUGCAAGUCGGACGGGAUCCAUCGGUAGCUUGCUAUCCAUGGUGAGAGUGGCGCACGGGUGCGUAACGCGUGAGCAACCUGCCUCCAUCAGGGGGAUAGCCUCUCGAAAGAGAGAUUAACACCGCAUAACAUAUCAGACCGGCAUCGGUCGGAUAUCAAAUAUUUAUAGGAUGGAGAUGGGCUCGCGUGACAUUAGCUUGUUGGUGGGGUAACGGCCCACCAAGGCGACGAUGUCUAGGGGCUCUGAGAGGAGAAUCCCCCACACUGGUACUGAGACACGGACCAGACUCCUACGGGAGGCAGCAGUAAGGAAUAUUGGUCAAUGGGCGGAAGCCUGAACCAGCCAUGCCGCGUGCAGGAUGACUGCCCUAUGGGUGGUAAACUGCUUUUGUCCGGGAAUAAACCUCCUUACGUGUAGGGAGCUGAAUGUACCGGAAGAAUAAGGAUCGGCUAACUCCGUG
This 488-nucleotide ribosomal RNA is filed under the name uncultured bacterium. Its description in RNAcentral is "partial 16S ribosomal RNA". It matches the Rfam family "Bacterial small subunit ribosomal RNA", at positions 28 to 507 of the family's 1533-position model. The record is from RNAcentral.